This 79-nucleotide ribosomal RNA is filed under the name Cronobacter turicensis 564. Its description in RNAcentral is "Small Subunit Ribosomal RNA; ssuRNA; SSU rRNA". The record is from RNAcentral. Lineage: Bacteria; Pseudomonadati; Pseudomonadota; Gammaproteobacteria; Enterobacterales; Enterobacteriaceae.
UGGCUCAGAUUGAACGCUGGCGGCAGGCCUAACACAUGCAAGUCGAACGGUAACAGAGAGCAGCUUGCUGCUGACCUGA